Molecule: ribosomal RNA, 151 nt
Filed under: Providencia rettgeri
Lineage: Bacteria; Pseudomonadati; Pseudomonadota; Gammaproteobacteria; Enterobacterales; Morganellaceae
Description: partial 16S ribosomal RNA
Rfam family: Bacterial small subunit ribosomal RNA
Source: RNAcentral
UAAUUGAAGAGUUUGAUCAUGGCUCAGAUUGAACGCUGGCGGCAGGCCUAACACAUGCAAGUCGAGCGGUAACAGGGGAAGCUUGCUUCUCGCUGACGAGCGGCGGACGGGUGAGUAAUGUAUGGGGAUCUGCCCGAUAGAGGGGGAUAAC